GGAAUCUAGGAAAUGCAGCGUUACCACGGUGAACAGAAGACUGACGUGUCGCCCACUUCCCGGGGCGGGACGUGGAGGCCGCCGGGCGCCCGGGGAGGGCGCGCGCCUUGGGGACCCGCUGUCAUGAGCCUCCGGGCCGGAGGCGGCAGCAGCGCACGACCCGGCCGGACACAAUGUAGCGGCGGCGGCGCGACGGGUUACAAUGUAGCGGCGGCGGCGGCGGUCGGGUGGGAUGCUAUGGAAUAUGAUGAGAAGCUGGCCCGGUUCCGGCAGGCCCACCUCAACCCCUUCAACAAGCAGCUUGGGCCAAGGCAGCAUGAACGGCAACCUAGUGAGGAGGCCCCAGAUGCUGCAUCUGAAGAGAUCCUGCCUGAGCUGCCCCCCGGGGAGCCCGAGUUCCGCUGCUCUGAACGAGUGAUGGAUCUUGGCCUGUCUGAGGACCACUUCUCUCGCCCCGUGGGUCUGUUCCUGGCCUCCGAUGUUCAGCAACUGCAGCAGGCGAUAGAGGAAUGCAAGCAGGUGAUUCUGGAGCUGCCUGAGCAGUCAGAGAAGCAGAAGGAUGCGGUGGUGAGGCUCAUCCACCUCCGGCUGAAACUCCAGGAGCUAAAGGACCCCAAUGAGGAUGAGCCCAACAUUCGGGUCCUUCUUGAGCACCGCUUCUACAAGGAGAAGAGCAAGAGUGUCAAGCAAACCUGUGACAAAUGCAACACCAUCAUCUGGGGGCUCAUUCAGACCUGGUACACCUGCACAGGAGGAGCAGAGAGCAAUGGCUGGAGCAUCAUAUCUGUGGCGAGGUGUGGUGGAAGUAGGCUUUUCUGCAGAGCCAUCUGGGUGCUGAAUUGCCUUGGACUCUGGCUGCUGAGGUGUUACUACCGUUGCCACAGCAAGUGCUUGAGCCUCAUCUCCAAGCCCUGCGUGAGCUCCAAAGUUAGCCACCAGGCUGAGUACGAGCUGAACAUCUGCCCCGAGACUGGGCUGGACAGCCAGGAUUACCGCUGUGCUGAGUGCCGGGUGCCCAUCUCAUUACGGGGCGUGCCCAGCGAGGCCCGGCAGUGCGACUACACAGGCCAGUACUACUGCGGCCACUGCCACUGGAAUGACCUGGCUGUCAUCCCCGCACGAGUGGUGCACAACUGGGACUUCGAGCCCCGCAAGGUGUCUCGCUGCAGCAUGCGCUACCUGGCGCUGAUGGUGUCCCGGCCGGUGCUCCGACUCCGGGAGAUCAACCCUCUGCUGUUCAACUACGUGGAGGAGCUGGUGGAGAUCCGGAUUGAUGGUGAUGAAACUGUUCUGAAGCAAUCUGAUGCCAGGCAUGGAAGCAAUUUAAAAAUUUCUAGUAGCCUUAUUAAAAAGAAGCUGCGCCAGGACAUUCUGCUCAUGAAGCCAUACUUCAUCACUUGCAAGGAGGCCAUGGAAGCUCGUCUGCUACUGCAGCUCCAGGACCGGCAGCACUUUGUGGAGAACGACGAGAUGUACUCCAUCCAGGAUCUGCUGGAUGUGCACAUGGGCCGCCUGGGCUGCUCGCUCACCGAGAUCCACACACUCUUCGCCAAACACAUCAAGCUGGACUGUGAGCGGUGCCAGGCCAAGGGCUUCGUGUGUGAGCUCUGCAGAGAGGGCGAUGUGCUGUUCCCAUUUGACAGUCACACAUCUGUGUGUGCCGACUGCUCAGCCGUCUUCCACAGUUUAAAUGAGCCUGCAGAGCCCCACACUCUCUGCAGAGCCCUGGCAUGCCUUGAUGCACAGUUUGGGAACCAUGGGUAGAGGCUCCACAGUGGCAGAACAGGUGGAGACAGUCAGGAAGCUAAGAGCAUGAAGCCUGAGCGUAACUGUCUGGCUGAGCCCCUCCAGCUGGAGCCUGCGGUGUUGGGCGGUGUGAGGACUCUCAGCAGAGGCACGUGCACGGGUCUCAAGGGACUGCUACUAUGACAACUCAACCACAUGCCCCAAGUGUGCCCGGCUCAACUUGAGGAAGCAGUCACUCUUCCAGGACCCUGAUCCAGACGUGGAUGCCUAGAGCACCAGGCACCCCACCUCCUCAUCUGGCACCCACCCCACUGGCAUUGCCAAAGUCAGGGUUCUGUUUCUGCCCUGAAGACCCUUGGGUGCAUCCUCUGGAUGUCUUCACUCCUGCUGGGCCAGAAGCGGGUGAGCAGUGCCCACCAGGACUGAUGAUCUCCAGGUGCUUACUGGGACUUGGGGCAUGUGCACCUGGCUGUUAACUUGGUGUGCUGCUGUGAGGGGUCACAAUGUAGCCCCUACCCUCCACCUCCACUAUAAGACUCCUUGGACAGGGUAUGACUUCCCAGGGGAAUAGGGAAGAAACUCUUACUUCCCCCAUGGCAUAGCAUUCCCCAAUCCCCUAGGGUCAAGGCUUUUGGAUCCUGGAGAUGCCCCUCCCUGCUUCCAUCCAGGCCACUCUGCAACUGGUCAGGCAAAGAUCCCCAGAGGGAUCCAGAGGAGUGACCAGUGAGACCUGAGCAUGCUGACUGUGGACACCCAGCAUCAGGCCUGUUUCAUCUGCUCUGGCAGAUGCUAGAAGACCAAUCCUUCUGGUCCCUUGCCUCUUUGGGAACUUCUGAUCAUCCCUGGCUGGGGCUCUUCACAGUUCUGUCCAUGGGCUGCCCCACCUCCUGAGGUUCUUCUAAGUCAUCCAUAGGCAGUUCAGUCCAGUGGGUCCCUGCUCUCCUUGCUAUGGUAAGGGAGACUUUCUGCCAUGGGGUUUUUCUCUAUUGGGUAAACUUGCUGCUGCUCUUGCUCUGGCCCAGCCCACCUUAUCCUGGUGCUCUGAGAUGAAUAGUGGUGGGUCCAGACCACAGAGGGUGUCCUGGCCUCCAGGUGUGUAGCAGGAACUGGAUCUCUGGGGGAGGUUCCAGGUCAGUCAAAAGAGUUGGUUACAGUAGGACUGUGUGGCAUUUCUUGGGACCACAUUUUUCCCUGGAGCUGUGUUCUGCUGCCAAUCUGGAAAGCUCCAGAUUGACUAACUCCAGAAAGCUCCAGAGAUGACUCACUGGCAAGUUUUUGUUUGGGGGCCUGCGACCUGAAAAAUGGGAAUAUUUGCUAGAGGAAGUGCCAAGCAGGUCUAGAGUCCAUGCGUGAAUGCCCAGACCUGGAAGGUGGACAGGACCCAAGGCUCUUAGUGGGAAGGCCACAUCCAGCCUUGGCGUUUGCACUUUACAGGUCCUAGGAUGGGAGGUUGCAGGAUGGGAUGUCAGGACAUGGCAUCCUAGUCAUCUGUCUCUGGACAGCAGGGAUUGCUUUUGUCUGUCCCUUUCUUCCCCACCCUGGACUGUGCUUGGCUGUGGAUAUACACAGGUGGGUGGGCAGAGGACAGGUGAUGACCAUCCAUCAACUAUGACUAAACCCAAGAGACACUUCAGCCAGCAGGAUGUAGCCCAGCUUGCUGGUCCAUUCUGGGGGGAUGAACACAGCAUCUUCCCUAUCCCUCUGUGCCGCCAGGUGGCUUUAGGCAGACGCUUUCUGUGUUUUGCCUCAGUUUCCCCAUCUGGAAAAUGGGGAGAGUGGUAUAGACCUACCUCAGGGUGGAACAGUGACAAGGGGACAUGUUGAAAUCCUUUAAGGACUGUGACAUGAGGUCGGGUCAGUGGUGGUUCCCUAUCCUGCUUCCCCUUUCUCUUUGGGAUUGAACAGGGGGAUCAAAGGCCAAGUGCCCUUUUCCUACACCCCUAAAUCUGCACGUCUCUCACCACUGCAUCACAUUGCUGUCAUAUGGAUGUUGGUCAUUCCUGAAUCUCCUGUGUAGUCAGCAUCAUGAUAUUCCAGUUACAAAUCAUUAUGUUCAUAGAACACACUCAUAGACUGGCAUUUGUUGGACAAAGCAUUUGAUCCCCUUUUUAGGUAUUCCUCAUUCCUCCCACAACUAGCAUUCUUUAACUCACCUCUAUACCUUGUCCCCCAACACCUCUUCUCUACCUGCCCUUUCUGGAUGACAGUCUUUAAGUAGAAUCACGUGUGGGACCUUCUACCAGUCACAGCAUGGUAGGAAGAACCACAGCCAGAAGCUGAUUUGCAUGGCCAGCAUCUUACAGAAGACCACACCCAAAGGGACCCACAGCAUGGAGCCAGGGUGGCCUGAGGAAGGCCCAGUCACAGCAAUGCCACCAUCUCUGUCUCAUUAAAUGUGUUGUCUAGACUCUGGUGUCUGUGGUGAAUCUGGGACAGAGCAGAGUUAGUUGACAUAAAAGCCAACAGUAGGGGAAGGAAACCUCAUGGCCUUCCCCAUCUAGUAGGCUAACUGUAUCUGGUUUGGGAUGAAGUAACUGAUAGGGUGGAAGAAGUGCUUAAGUUGGUGUCAGACAGCUCAAGGUCUAAGCCUGCUCUGGUGGUGUGUGCAGAGCUUGCAUGAUUUAUCUCAGCCUCCUCGACCACACAAAUCUCCAGGAAGCAUUCAGCAUUGUGCCUUCCAUGUAGAAAAUGCUUGGUAAAAAAGAAGCGUCUCUCUGAAGUCCUUAGAAGGACUGGCUCAAUAAGUUGUGCAAUACUGGCCCAUCAUGUAAUCAUGACAGGUUCAGCCAGAGUCCCAUUCUGGCUCCUGGAACAUCAUCCAUCUUCACAAACCAGACCCAAUACAAGGACCCUCACAGCAGCUCAAGGCCAUUCCCCUUGUCCUUAAAUAGGGAUUAUUAAUGGAUGGUGUUCAUGGGGUCCACAAAUCCCCUUCUAAAUUAGAUUCAAAACUCUAGGUGGGCAUUCUUCUGCAGAGAUGUGAUCUACAGUUUUGACUAGGAGCUCAAAGGGGCUAUGAUCCAUAACAUAUCAGGACUCUGCUUUAGAAGGUGUCUUUACACAUUGUGCAUAUGCAACUGCAUCCAGAUGGACUACUGUGCUGCAACUCUGUGCCCCAGAGAAGCCCAAGAGCAUAUCUGCUUCUUUCCUUCUAUUGGAGCAUCCCCAGAAGGGUGAGAGGAAGCGCCUUCCAAGGCAAUUGUGGACUGGGGUGCUGACUGUGCCUCAAACAACUAAGUAGCUAAAGUUGGGACAUGAGAUGGAGGGUGAAAUUUCCCCCCUUUCAGGUUAUGCCUUUUUUCUUUUAAUGUUUUCAUUUUGGUAAAUUGAGAUUUACAGGAAAGUUAUAAAGUUAUAAAAAUUUCCCCAUUUCUCCAUCUCCUGGAUUCUCUAAAUGUUAACAUCUGGCCCCAUGUGCUUUAUCUUCUUCUUUUACACAUUCUGCUCUGAACCACUGGACAUCAAACUGCAAACAGCUUGCUUCUAGACUCUUCCUUUUCUGUGCAUAUGUCUGUGUGCCCUCUCCCACGGGGACACUGCCUUUCAUGGCCACUGUGCAACUAUCCAAGGAAAUUAACACUGGCACAGUACUAUAAAACCUAUAGCAAAUCUUAUUCAGAUUUUGCAAGUUUUCUAAAUGUUUUAUAGUCAACCUCCUUUCCUCCCAACUCUCACAUUACAUUCAGUUGCCAAGUCUCUUUAGCCUUCUUUAAUCUGACCAAACACUGACAUUUUUGAAAAGUGCAUGCAGACAAUUUUUGGUAGUGGUUGUUGGUAAUCACACCUAGGGACCUCACACAUGCUAGGCAAAAUGUUCUAUUAAGCUACAUUCCCCAGCCUCCAGACUGACUAUUUUGAAGAAGAUUCCCUUACCCCAGUUUGGGUUAGUCUCACAUAUUUGAGUUUUGUAUUCCACAGCAGUGAUGCUGUGCCCUUGUUGUGACCUGGAGGCACACAAUGUACGUUUGUCCCAUUGCUGGAGACCUGGCUAAAGUAGUGUCUGCCAGGUUUUUACAUUAUGAGGUUACUAUUUAUCCUUUUGUCAUAAGUAUCCUUUUGUAAGUAUUCUGUGGGGACAUACUUUGAGUUUAUAUAGAUAUCCAAACUUCCACCGAUUUUAGCAUCCACUGAUGGUUCCUGCCUAACUCAAUUCUGAUGAUGCCACUGCCAAUUGAUGACUGGAUAUUUGCCAUCCUAUCUACAUUUAUUAGUUGACUAUUAUAUGGAAGAGCUCUAUCUCCCCUUCUGUUUAUGUACACAAGUUUCUACUUUACUCGUUGGGUUACGAUCCUUUACUGCAGUCUUUUGAUGCUUAAGUGUCCUAGAUUAGGCCAGUGGGAGCCUUUCAACCUGUUUCCUGUGUCCUCACGUGCCUUUUUUUUUUUUUUUGGGGGGUGC
This is an RNA transcript of Sciurus carolinensis (gray squirrel), 6144 nucleotides long. It is a transcript of the gene named differentially expressed in FDCP 8 homolog, with no coding region annotated. The record is from RefSeq and is a predicted model, not a curated record. The transcript is spliced from 15 exons. NCBI's taxonomy places the organism in Eukaryota, Metazoa, Chordata, Mammalia, Rodentia, Sciuridae.